RNAcentral lists this ribosomal RNA (427 nucleotides) under uncultured Acidobacteriota bacterium. RNAcentral describes it as "bacterial SSU rRNA". It matches the Rfam family "Bacterial small subunit ribosomal RNA", at positions 958 to 1385 of the family's 1533-position model. The record is from RNAcentral. Lineage: Bacteria; Pseudomonadati; Acidobacteriota.
AACGCGAAGAACCUUACCUGGGCUUGAACCGCACAGGACCAUCUUCAGAAAUGAGGACUUCCCGCAAGGGACCUGUGUAGAGGUGCUGCAUGGCUGUCGUCAGCUCGUGCCGUGAGGUGUUGGGUUAAGUCCCGCAACGAGCGCAACCCUUACUCAUAGUUGCUACCCGCAAGGGAGAACUCUAUGAGGACUGCUCCGGAUAACGGAGAGGAAGGUGGGGAUGAGGUCAAGUCAGCAUGGCCUUUAUGUCCAGGGCCACACACGUGUUACAAUGCGCGCCACAAAGCGUCGCGAACCCGCGAGGGGGAGCUAAUCGCAAAAAAGCGCGCUCAGUUCGGAUUGCAGUCUGCAACUCGACUGCAUGAAGCCGGAAUCGCUAGUAAUGGCGCAUCAGAACGGCGCCGUGAAUACGUUCCCGGGCCUUGUA